AAAGAAAGGAUAAAUUAAAGUCGAGAUGGACCUGAGGAAGACCACAUGAGGGCUGAUGGGGAAGAGGCAUUUGAAGGCUUUACAGGAGGCAUAGUACUGGAAAUCUGCUCCUGAUGAGGUCUCAGAAAGCUUCCACUCGUGGUGGAAGGCAAAGGAGGAGCAGGCACAUCACAUGAGCCUUGAAACCAGCGAAACAAUAAUCAAAGAGCAGUUCUGUCAAAGAAAACAACAUAAAUCAGGUACAGAAUUUCAGAGUGGGAUAUCAGAUCUUUAGUGUGAAGAUACAUCUACAUUAAACCAGGAAUCACUAGAACUGACAUUUGGACAAGAAAAUUUGGAAAAUUUUAAAACUGUGAAGGUUGAUCAUGGAAAUUAAAGAGGAAGGGGCAUCAGAAGAAGGGCAGCACUUUCUUCCUACAGCCCAGGCCAAUGAUCCCGGGGACUGUCAGUUCACAAGUAUCCAGAAGACUCCAAAUGAACCGCAGUUGGAAUUCAUCCUUGCUGCAGCUAUCUGAAUAAUGGGAUCAGGCCUGGUGAUUGGAUGCUGCUGAACAUCUA
Molecule: long non-coding RNA, 558 nt
Filed under: Homo sapiens (human)
Lineage: Eukaryota; Metazoa; Chordata; Mammalia; Primates; Hominidae
Description: non-protein coding lnc-FREM3-9:1
Source: RNAcentral